RNAcentral lists this small nuclear RNA (194 nucleotides) under Zootermopsis nevadensis. Its description in RNAcentral is "U2 spliceosomal RNA". It matches the Rfam family "U2 spliceosomal RNA". From Rfam's summary of the family: U2 is a small nuclear RNA (snRNA) component of the spliceosome (involved in pre-mRNA splicing). Lineage: Eukaryota; Metazoa; Arthropoda; Insecta; Blattodea; Termopsidae. The record is from Rfam by way of RNAcentral.
AUCGCUUCUCGGCCUUUUGGGCUUAGAUCAAUGUGUAGUAUCUGUUCUUAUCAGCUUAAUAUCUGAUACAUUCUGCAUCGCAGAAUCAGUAUAUUAAACUACUUUUUGUAAAAUGACUGGAGUUUAGAAGCUUGCUUCACUCCGGUCGCGGAUCGACCUGGUAUUGCAGUUUUGCCGGGUUCGGUCCACCGUUA